Molecule: ribosomal RNA, 478 nt
Filed under: uncultured bacterium
Lineage: Bacteria
Description: partial 16S ribosomal RNA
Rfam family: Bacterial small subunit ribosomal RNA
Source: RNAcentral
GACGAACGCUGGCGGCGUGCUUAACACAUGCAAGUCGAACGGCAAGGCCCUUCGGGGUACACGAGUGGCGAACGGGUGAGUAACACGUGGGUGAUCUGCCCUGCACUUCGGGAUAAGCCUGGGAAACUGGGUCUAAUACCGGAUAGGACCCUGGGAUGCAUGUCCUGGGGUGGAAAGCUUUUGCGGUGUGGGAUGGGCCCGCGGCCUAUCAGCUUGUUGGUGGGGUGAUGGCCUACCAAGGCGACGACGGGUAGCCGGCCUGAGAGGGUGACCGGCCACACUGGGACUGAGAGACGGCCCAGACUCCUACGGGAGGCAGCAGUGGGGAAUAUUGCACAAUGGGCGCAAGCCUGAUGCAGCGACGCCGCGUGAGGGAUGACGGCCUUCGGGUUGUAAACCUCUUUCAGCGCCGACGAAGCGCAAGUGACGGUAGGUGCAGAAGAAGGACCGGCCAACUACGUGCCAGCCGCCGCCGUAA